UGUAGGAGUGAGCCUGCUCGCGAUGGCGGCGUGUCAGUAACGUAAAUGUCGACUGACACACCGCUAUCGCGAGCAGGCUCACUCCUACA
This 89-nucleotide unclassified non-coding RNA is filed under the name Pseudomonas helmanticensis. Lineage: Bacteria; Pseudomonadati; Pseudomonadota; Gammaproteobacteria; Pseudomonadales; Pseudomonadaceae. The record is from RNAcentral.